This 428-nucleotide ribosomal RNA is filed under the name uncultured bacterium. Its description in RNAcentral is "bacterial SSU rRNA". It matches the Rfam family "Bacterial small subunit ribosomal RNA", at positions 340 to 760 of the family's 1533-position model. The record is from RNAcentral.
UACGGAAGGCAGCAGUGGGGAAUAUUGCACAAUGGGCGCAAGCCUGACGCAGCCAUGCCGCGUGUAUGAAGAAGGCCUUCGGGUUGUAAAGUACUUUCAGUCGUGAGGAAGGUGUUAAGGUUAAUAACCUUAGCAAUUGACGUUAGCGACAGAAGAAGCACCGGCUAACUCCGUGCCAGCAGCCGCGGUAAUACGGAGGGUGCGAGCGUUAAUCGGAAUUACUGGGCGUAAAGGGCACGCAGGCGGUUAAUUAAGUUGGAUGUGAAAUCCCCGGGCUUAACCUGGGAAUGGCAUUCAAGACUGGUUAGCUAGAGUCUUGUAGAGGGGGGUAGAAUUCCAUGUGUAGCGGUGAAAUGCGUAGAGAUGUGGAGGAAUACCGGUGGCGAAGGCGGCCCCUGGGACAAAGACUGACGCUCAUGUGCGAAAGC